GAUGAACGCUGGCGGCGUGCCUAAUACAUGCAAGUCGAGCGAACAGAUGAGGAGCUUGCUCCUCUGACGUUAGCGGCGGACGGGUGAGUAACACGUGGAUAACCUACCUAUAAGACUGGGAUAACUUCGGGAAACCGGAGCUAAUACCGGAUAAUAUAUUGAACCGCAUGGUUCAAUAGUGAAAGACGGUUUUGCUGUCACUUAUAGAUGGAUCCGCGCCGCAUUAGCUAGUUGGUAAGGUAACGGCUUACCAAGGCAACGAUGCGUAGCCGACCUGAGAGGGUGAUCGGCCACACUGGAACUGAGACACGGUCCAGAAUCCUACGGGAGGCAGCAGUAGGGAAUCUUCCGCAAUGGGCGAAAGCCUGACGGAGCAACGCCGCGUGAGUGAUGAAGGUCUUCGGAUCGUAAAACUCUGUAUUAGGGAAGAACAAAUGUGUAAGUAACUAUGCACGUCUUGACGGUACCUAAUCAGAAAGCCACGGCUAACUACGUG
Molecule: ribosomal RNA, 496 nt
Filed under: uncultured bacterium
Lineage: Bacteria
Description: partial 16S ribosomal RNA
Rfam family: Bacterial small subunit ribosomal RNA
Source: RNAcentral